This is a non-coding RNA of Cinara cedri, 1163 nucleotides long. The record is from the annotation of a GenBank genome assembly. NCBI's taxonomy places the organism in Eukaryota, Metazoa, Arthropoda, Insecta, Hemiptera, Aphididae.
GUCAUAUUUAAACAAAUAAAUUAUUUUAACUUACUAAUAUUUCUAUUGUACACAUUAAUCAAUUUAAAUUUUUUAAAGAAAUAUGGUACAAAUAAAAUAAAACAUCUAAACACAUAAUAUAUACACACGAAUAUACCUACCUAUUUGCCAUUUUAUAAAAUUGUGUCAUAACGUGUGUAAGACUUUUAGGUUCAUAAAAUAAAUUUAAAAUUGUGUUCAUUUUGGAAACAAUUUUAUUAUGUUAUUUUAUUACGCAUGCAUAUUUUAUUUUUACUUUAAGCUACAUGGGUAAACAUUUGCAGGUUACUCUUUUUACUCAAUUAUUAAAAACACAAGAUGGAAAAUCAAAAAAAAAAAAAGAAUAACUUGCUGAUGCAAAAAUAAAGGUCUUUUGCAGUUUUUCUAUUGGAGUAAUAUUUCUGGUAGAAACAUAACACAUACAAAUUUGAAAUAAUGAAAAUUUAUAAAUUUACGAAUUUUCAUUUUCAUCCACUUUUAGAUUUGGAGCAUGAUGAGUAAUGUAUUAGUGGUUUUACAUUGUUUAUUUUUUUUUUCUUAUCUGCAAACAACUUUUCUACUAGAAAUAUUUCUCCGAUUUUCAUGUAUAGUACUUUUUUUGAAAGGAAGUUGUAUCUGAGUGCUACUUUAGGGAAGUCAGUUUCUAAGCGAUUUUAAUAAUAAUUGAGAAAAACUGAGAAAAUUUACAUACAGAUAUAAAUUCAAUUUCUCUCUAUAUCCUACCUUCCCAACUUCUCACCUACAACAGUAACCUACCUAUUGUGUGAAGUAUGUCAGUUUUUUUUUUUAAUUUUAUAUAAUUGCACAUAUAGGAUAAAUUAAAAACAAAUGUCACUAAUUAAACUAUGGUUUCCAUUUUACAAAGUGGAUAACAUUUUUAUCCAUAACAUAAACCUAAAAAUUGUACACAUUAUAGUCAAAGUUUGUAAAAUAGAUACCCAGUUUAUAUUAAGUUUACACUACAUAUGUAGAUGCAACAUAUUAUAACUUGAAUGGUAAUUAUUUUAAUAUUGAACAUUUAUUAUUUCUAAAAGUACCUAUUAAAUUUGUAAACAAUUUGUUUUCAUCAUUAAAUAUUGAUUUCAUUUUUUUAAAUUUAAAUUUAAUGAUUUUUCAAGUAAUAAAUGUUAAAUAUUAAAUAAUUA